GAUGAACGCUCGCUACAGGCUUAACACAUGCAAGUCGAGGGGAAACGACAUCGCAAGCUUGCUUUUGAUGGGCGUCGACCGGCGCACGGGUGAGUAACGCGUAUCCAACCUGCCCAUCACUUGGGAAUAACCUUGCGAAAGUAAGACUAAUACCCAAUGACAUCCCACGAAGACAUCUGAAUGGGAUUAAAGAUUUAUCGGUGAUGGAUGGGGAUGCGUCUGAUUAGCUUGUUGGCGGGGUAACGGCCCACCAAGGCAACGAUCAGUAGGGGUUCUGAGAGGAAGGUCCCCCACAUUGGAACUGAGACACGGUCCAAACUCCUACGGGAGGCAGCAGUGAGGAAUAUUGGUCAAUGGGCGAGAGCCUGAACCAGCCAAGUAGCGUGCAGGAUGACGGCCCUAUGGGUUGUAAACUGCUUUUAUAAGGGAAUAAAGUGGGUCUCGUGAGACUUUUUGCAUGUACCUUAUGAAUAAGGACCGGCUAAUUCCGUG
Molecule: ribosomal RNA, 492 nt
Filed under: uncultured bacterium
Lineage: Bacteria
Description: partial 16S ribosomal RNA
Rfam family: Bacterial small subunit ribosomal RNA
Source: RNAcentral